GACGAACGCUGGCGGCGUGCCUAAUACAUGCAAGUAGAACGCACAGUUUAUACCGUAGCUUGCUACACCAUAGACUGUGAGUUGCGAACGGGUGAGUAACGCGUAGGUAACCUGCCUGGUAGCGGGGGAUAACUAUUGGAAACGAUAGCUAAUACCGCAUAAUAUUGAUUAUUGCAUGAUAAUUAAUUGAAAGGUGCAAUUGCACCACUACCAGAUGGACCUGCGUUGUAUUAGCUAGUAGGUGAGGUAACGGCUCACCUAGGCGACGAUACAUAGCCGACCGGAGAGGGUGAGUGGCCACACUGGGACUGAGACACGGCCCAGACUCCUACGGGAGGCAGCAGUAGGGAAUCUUCGGCAAUGGGCGAAAGUCUGACCGAGCAACGCCGCGUGAGUGAAGAAGGUUUUCGGAUCGUAAAGCUCUGUUGUAAGAGAAGAACGGGUGUGAGAGUGGAAAGUUCACACUGUGACGGUAUCUUACCAGAAAGGGACGGCUAACUACGUG
This 505-nucleotide ribosomal RNA is filed under the name uncultured bacterium. RNAcentral's name for it is "partial 16S ribosomal RNA". It matches the Rfam family "Bacterial small subunit ribosomal RNA", at positions 28 to 507 of the family's 1533-position model. The record is from RNAcentral.